This 492-nucleotide ribosomal RNA is filed under the name uncultured bacterium. RNAcentral's name for it is "partial 16S ribosomal RNA". It matches the Rfam family "Bacterial small subunit ribosomal RNA", at positions 30 to 507 of the family's 1533-position model. The record is from RNAcentral.
AGUGAACGCUGGCGGUAGGCCUAACACAUGCAAGUCGAACGGCAGCACAGUAAGAGCUUGCUCUUACGGGUGGCGAGUGGCGGACGGGUGAGGAAUACAUCGGAAUCUACUUUUUCGGGGGGGAUAACGUAGGGAAACUUACGCUAAUACCGCAUACGCCCUACGGGUGAAAGCAGGGGAUCUUCGGACCUUGCGCGAUUGGAUGAGCCGCUGACGUGUUGGAUAGUUGGGGGGGUAAAGGCCAACCAAGGCGACGAUUCGUAGCUGGAGUGAGAGGCUGGUCGCCGACAUUGGAACGGGAACAGCGACCAGACUCCUGAGGGAGGGAGCAGUGGGGAAUAGUGGGCAAUAGGGGGAAGUCUUGUCCAGCCAGCCGGCGUGGGUUACGGAGGCCUCGGGGGUGGAAAGCCCUUUUGUUGGGAGAGAAAAGCAGCAGGUUAAUACGACGCGGUUCUGACGGUACCGAAAGAAGAAGCACCGGCUAACUUCGUG